This is an RNA transcript of Aplysia californica (California sea hare), 374 nucleotides long. RefSeq lists it as uncharacterized. The transcript has 2 exons. The record is from RefSeq and is a predicted model, not a curated record. NCBI's taxonomy places the organism in Eukaryota, Metazoa, Mollusca, Gastropoda, Aplysiida, Aplysiidae.
CAGGGUGACAGCGGCGCAGGUUUGAACUUCCUGAGAAACAACCGUUGGGAACUCGGUGGCAUUGUUUGCUGGGGAGGAUGUGCCGGGGAGAAAAAACCAGAAGUGUACUCUUCCGUCAACAUGCUACUUCCUUGGAUUAAAUUGACGAUUAGAGACAUAGCCUAACUUUUUACCUCUGUAUAUAGUAGCUAUGAAUAAAACCGUCUUUUUCCAGAGCCUCAACCAAGGUCAUUUAUUUGUAACAGAUAUGUAGCCAACCAUAGCAAUUGAAUACCAACUUCUGUUCUUGACGUGUGGACUUGAAUUGAUCGCCCUGAAGGUAUUAUACCUUCUACAACUCUGCUGUCAGAUGGUAAAAUAAAUAAAGAAAAAGU